GUAGCUUAACAUGCAAGUCGAGCGGUAACAGACAUAAAGAUUUAGCUUGCUAAAUCCGGUGCUGACGAGCGGCGAACGGGUGAGUAACACGUAGGAAUCUACCCAGUAGCGGGGGAUAGCCCAGGGAAACUUGGAUUAAUACCGCAUACACCCUAAGGGGAAAAGAAGGCCUCUCUUUGAAGCUUUCACUAUUGGAUGAGCCUGCGUAAGAUUAGCUUGUUGGUGGGGUAAAGGCCUACCAAGGCAACGAUCUUUAGCUGGUCUGAGAGGACGAUCAGCCACAUUGGGACUGAGACACGGCCCAGACUUCUACGGAAGGCAGCAGUUAGGAAUAUUGGACAAUGGGGGCAACCCUGAUCCAGCUAUACCGCGUGUGUGAAGAAGGCCCUAGGGUUGUAAAGCACUUUAAGCAGGGAAGAAGCGUAUUAAGUUAAUAUCUUAAUAUGUUGACGUUACCUGAAGAAUAAGGACCGGCUAACUCCGUGCCAGCAGCCGCGGUAAUACGGAGGGUCCAAGCGUUAAUCGGAAUUACUGGGCGUAAAGCGCGCGUAGGCGGUUUAAUAAGUUGUAUGUGAAAGCCCUGGGCUCAACCUAGGAACUGCAUACAAAACUAUUAAGCUUGAGGACGAGAGAGGAGAGUAGAAUUUCAGGUGUAGCGGUGAAAUGCGUAGAUAUCUGAAGGAAUACCAAUGGCGAAGGCAGCUCUCUGGCUCGUUUCUGACGCUAAGGUGCGAAAGCGUGGGUAGCAAACAGGAUUAGAUACCCUGGUAGUCCACGCCGUAAACGAUGAUAACUAGCCGUUGGGCAGAUUUAACUGUUCAGUGGCACAGCUAACGCAUUAAGUUAUCCGCCUGGGGAGUACGGCCGCAAGGCUAAAACUCAAAUGAAUUGACGGGGGCCCGCACAAGUGGUGGAGCAUGUGGUUUAAUUCGAUGCAACGCGAAGAACCUUACCAACCUUUGAAAUCCA
Molecule: ribosomal RNA, 969 nt
Filed under: uncultured bacterium
Lineage: Bacteria
Description: bacterial SSU rRNA
Rfam family: Bacterial small subunit ribosomal RNA
Source: RNAcentral